Vicugna pacos (alpaca) is the source of this 356-nucleotide non-coding RNA. NCBI's taxonomy places the organism in Eukaryota, Metazoa, Chordata, Mammalia, Artiodactyla, Camelidae. The record is from RefSeq and is a predicted model, not a curated record.
UAUACAACUUGCUCAAAGUCAUGUGGUAAAAUUGGACUUCAAAUCUAGGCAUUCCAGCUCCGAAAUCCACGAUUCUUAUGAAUAACAUCCUGUCCCAGCUGACUCAGACCCCUGCCUCUGGCUUCCCUCAAAGUCGGGGCCAUCUUACUGAUAAUGACAAGUGACCAGAAGGCUCUGAACAAAGAAGUCAUUCCAAAAUCCACUGGAAAAAAUUGCCUUUUUACAUAAAAGGAAUCACAGUGGACCCCCGGCAAAACUGAAGAUACAGAAACGUUUUUUUCAGCAACACUUCACACUUCUGAGAAAAGCCCACGUGGAAACUCAGAAACAAGGCAGCUGUCUGCAAGCCAGAGAGA